Cyprinus carpio (common carp) is the source of this 2316-nucleotide long non-coding RNA. NCBI's taxonomy places the organism in Eukaryota, Metazoa, Chordata, Actinopteri, Cypriniformes, Cyprinidae. The record is from Ensembl.
AUGGCAGACAUACAGCAGAUGUUUUACUGCUUCCUCGUAGAAGAAAAACACAGGAACUAUUUGAGAUUUUUAUGGUUCAAGAACAAUGAUGUAACAAGUGAAGUCAUAGACUACAGAAUGAAGGUCCAUGUGUUCGGGAACAGCCCGUCUCCAGCAGUGGCAAUUUAUGGGCUUAGAAGGGCUGUCAGAAAGGGUGCGCAAAGAUAUGGACAAGGCACAGUCAACUUUGUUGAGCGUCACUUUUAUGUCGAUGACGGUCUUUGUUCUGUCCCUACUGAUGCUGAAGCCAUUGACUUGCUGCGUAGGACUCAGGCUUCACUUGCUGAGUCCAACCUCAGGCUCCACAAGUUUGCAUCAAAUAGUCCGGCAGUCUUGGCAGCUUUCCCAAGUGAGGACUGUGUGGCAGCUGGAAAAGAGGUAGACCUCUGUGGGAAGGAGUCACCCAUCCAACGCAGCUUAGGCCUCCUGUGGGAGGUAGCUAUGGACACAUUCACCUUCUCUGUGUCAAUUGAUGUAAAACCGUUUACCCGUCGUGGAGUUCUCUCCAUGGUGAACAGUGUUUUUGAUCCCUUGGGUUUUUUAGCUCCUGUUGUAAUCCAAGGCAGAGCCCUUCUUAGAGAGCUGUAUUCUGAGGCUUCAGAGUGGGACACUCCGUUACCUGAAGAGAAAUUAGGCAAGUGGGAGGCUUGGCGAAACUCACUUCAAGAGUUGAAGCACUUCCAUAUUUCAAGGAUGUACACAGGCCUCUCUCUAACCAAGGCCGAACGGAUAGAACUCUGUGUGUUCUGUGAUGCUUCUACUAUGGCCAUUGGGGCUGUAGCCUAUUUGAAGACCAUCCAAGAAGACAUUGUUGACAUUGGAUUUGUCAUGGGGAAGUCUAAACUUGCUCCUCAAUCAGAGCCAACCAUACCGAGACUUGAACUAUGUGCUGCGGUUUUGGCUGUUGAAGUGGCCGAACUGAUUCAGGAUGAACUGGACUUGAAGCUAGAUUCCAUUAAGUUUUACACUGAUAGCAGAGUGGUCCUUGGAUACAUUCAUAACCAAUCCAGAUGGUUUUAUGUAUAUGUCCACAAUCGAGUCCAGCGUAUUCGCCAGACCACAAAUCCUGAACAGUGGCACUACGUACACACAGAGGACAAUCCAGCUGACAUUGCGUCAAGGUCUGUUCCAGCAUCACGUAUCACACAAACAAUGUGGUUCAGUGGACCUACCUUUUUGCGUAAGCUUUCCAGUCAACCAGAGCCUAUUCAGUCAUUCAGUUUAGUCUCACCAGAAUUGGAUGCGGAGAUUCGUCCAGAUGUGAAGAGUUAUGCCACCCAGCUACAGAAGAAAGGUCUCAGCAUAGAGCGUUUUGAGAGGUUCUCCACCUUUAACACUCUCCAGCCAGCCGUGGCAUUCUUAAUUCAUGUUGCAAGAUCUUACAAGUCCCCUAACAUGAUGGACAAGUGUAGAGGAUGGCAUAAAUGUGAGCUGCCUCGCUCUCCGGAUGAGCUUUCCCAAGCCAGAGAAGUCAUCAUUAGAGCCGUUCAGAGAAAAGCAUUUGGAAAGGAAUUUGAAACUCUAGAAAGAGACAAGCCAAUUCCCAUAAACAGCUGUCUACGUCGUCUCAACCCUAUCUUGCAGAAUGACCUAAUCUUUAUCGGAGGCCGUCUGAAAAACGCAGACGUAGAGAUUGACCAAAAGAACCCUGUAAUUCUCCCAAAAGACAACCAUGUUUCCUUGCUGCUCAUUAGACAUCAUCAUACCCAAGUAAAACAUCAGGGCCGCCAUUUAACAGAAGGCGCUGUGAGAGCUGCAGGACUCUGGAUUUUGGGAGGUAAAAGGCUCAUUAACUCAACUCUUCACAAAUGCGUGACCUGUCGUAGACUCAGAGGACGGAUGCAGGAGCAACUAAUGGCGGAUUUGCCACCAGAGCAUCUCAAGGCCUGCCCUCCCUUCACGUAUGUGGGGCUAGAUGUCUUCGGACCAUGGCACAUCACUACCAGACGUACAAGAGGAGUUCAGCCUGAGAGCAAGAGGUGGGCCAUAUUAUUCUGUUGUAUGAGCUCCAGGGCGGUUCACACUGAGGUGAUUGCCUCAAUGGACACUUCAAGCUGUAUCAAUGCCUUAAGGCGUUUCUUCGCCAUAAGAGGACCAGCCAAACAACUACGGUCAGAUUGUGGCACGAAUUUCAUAGGGGCCUGCAGAGAACUCGGGAUGAGCGCAGACCAACCAGACACUGCUGUGCAGAGGUACCUACACUGCUUUGCACAUGGGUGGUUCAUGGGAACGCCUCAUUGGAGUGGCUCGAAGGAUCCUGGAGUCAAUGCUUCUUGA